RNAcentral lists this ribosomal RNA (489 nucleotides) under uncultured bacterium. RNAcentral describes it as "bacterial SSU rRNA". It matches the Rfam family "Bacterial small subunit ribosomal RNA", at positions 28 to 526 of the family's 1533-position model. The record is from RNAcentral.
GAUGAACGCUAGCGGCAGGCUUAAUACAUGCAAGUCAAGGGGGUAGCAAUACAACCGGCGCACGGGUGAGUAACGCGUACACAACAUACCAUAUACUGGAGUAUAGCUUUGGGAAACUGAAGGUAAUCCUCCAUAACAUUGCGAGAGGGCAUCUGAUUGCAAUUAAAGUUUCGGCGGUAUAUGAUUGGUGUGCGUUUGAUUAGCUAGUUGGUAGGGUAACGGCCUACCAAGGCGACGAUCAAUAGCUGGCGUGAGAGCGCGACCAGCCACACUGGAACUGAGACACGGUCCAGACUCCUACGGGAGGCAGCAGUAGGGAAUAUUGGACAAUGGAGGAAACUCUGAUCCAGCCAUGCCGCGUGAUAGAUGAAGGCCCUCUGGGUUGUAAAUAUCUUUUAUCUGGGAAGAAACACUCCUAUUCUUAGGAACUUGACGGUACCAGAGGAAUAAGCACCGGCUAACUCCGUGCCAGCAGCCGCGGUAAAGUAU